UGGGGAAUUUUGGACAAUGGGCGAAAGCCUGAUCCAGCAAUGCCGCGUGUGUGAAGAAGGCCUUCGGGUUGUAAAGCACUUUUGUCCGGAAAGAAAUCCUCUGGGUUAAUACCUCGGGGGGAUGACGGUACCGGAAGAAUAAGCACCGGCUAACUACGUGCCAGCAGCCGCGGUAAUACGUAGGGUGCAAGCGUUAAUCGGAAUUACUGGGCGUAAAGCGUGCGCAGGCGGUUUUGUAAGACGGAUGUGAAAUCCCCGGGCUUAACCUGGGAACUGCAUUCGUGACUGCAAGGCUAGAGUAUGGCAGAGGGGGGUAGAAUUCCACGUGUAGCAGUGAAAUGCGUAGAGAUGUGGAGGAAUACCGAUGGCGAAGGCAGCCCCCUGGGCCAAUACUGACGCUCAUGCACGAAAGCGUGGGGAGCAAACAGGAUUAGAUACCCUGGUAGUCCACGCCCUAAACGAUGUCAACUAGUUGUUGGGGAUUCAUUUCCUUAGUAACGUAGCUAACGCGUGAAGUUGACCGCCUGGGGAGUACAGUCGCAAGAUUAAAACUCAAAGGAAUUGACGGGGUCAUAGCUGUUUCCU
RNAcentral lists this ribosomal RNA (585 nucleotides) under uncultured bacterium. RNAcentral describes it as "partial 16S ribosomal RNA". It matches the Rfam family "Bacterial small subunit ribosomal RNA", at positions 355 to 1375 of the family's 1533-position model. The record is from RNAcentral.